This 253-nucleotide ribosomal RNA is filed under the name uncultured bacterium. RNAcentral describes it as "partial 16S ribosomal RNA". It matches the Rfam family "Bacterial small subunit ribosomal RNA", at positions 524 to 776 of the family's 1533-position model. The record is from RNAcentral.
UACGAAGGGGGCUAGCGUUGCUCGGAAUUACUGGGCGUAAAGCGCACGUAGGCGGCCAUGAUAGUCAGAUGUGAAAGGCCUGGGCUCAACCCGGGAAUUGCAUUUGAUACUGCAUGGCUAGAGUCCAAGAGAGGGUAGUGGAAUUCCCAGUGUAGAGGUGAAAUUCGUAGAUAUUGGGAAGAACACCAGUGGCGAAGGCGGCUACCUGGCUUGGUACUGACGCUCAGGUGCGAAAGCGUGGGGAGCGAACAGG